GUCAGCACCCCGCGCUGAAGCGACGGGGCUUCAUGCCUCACCGACCGUAUUAGCUGACCAGCCUAAGUCUUAACUGACUACUUUUUUGAGUCAAGACACCCUGCGGAUGCGCGAGCCGCGUCCCUGGCUCUGUC
RNAcentral lists this small RNA (134 nucleotides) under Planktothrix rubescens. RNAcentral's name for it is "HEARO". It matches the Rfam family "HNH endonuclease-associated RNA and ORF (HEARO) RNA", at positions 1 to 132 of the family's 211-position model. Lineage: Bacteria; Bacillati; Cyanobacteriota; Cyanophyceae; Oscillatoriales; Microcoleaceae. RNAcentral also lists the same sequence under 1 other name. The record is from RNAcentral.